This 262-nucleotide ribosomal RNA is filed under the name uncultured bacterium. Its description in RNAcentral is "partial 16S ribosomal RNA". It matches the Rfam family "Bacterial small subunit ribosomal RNA", at positions 524 to 776 of the family's 1533-position model. The record is from RNAcentral.
UACGUAGGGGUGCAAGCGUUAUCCGGAAUUAUUGGGCGUAAAGAGCUCGUAGGCGGUUCAGUAAGUCAGGUGUGAAAUCCUUUUGGGGCUUAACCCAAAGCGUGCACUUGAUACUGCUGUGACUUGAGUUCGGGUAGGGGGAGUGGGGAAUUCCUAGUGUAGCGGUGAAAUGCGCAGAUAUUAGGAGGAACACCGGUGGCGAAGGCGCCACUCGUGGGCCGAAACUGACGCUGAGGAGCGAAAAGCGUGGGUAGCAAACAGG